UACGAAGGGGGCGAGCGUUGUUCGGAUUUACUGGGCGUAAAGGGCGCGCAGGCGGCUCAUUUUGUCAGGCGUGAAAGCCCCGGGCUUAACCUGGGAACUGCGUUUGAUACGGAUGGGCUAGAGUUCGGGAGAGGAUAGCGGAAUUCCCAGUGUAGAGGUGAAAUUCGUAGAUAUUGGGAAGAACACCGGUGGCGAAGGCGGCUAUCUGGACCGACAUUGACGCUGAGGCGCGAAAGCGUGGGGAGCAAACAGG
RNAcentral lists this ribosomal RNA (253 nucleotides) under uncultured bacterium. RNAcentral describes it as "partial 16S ribosomal RNA". It matches the Rfam family "Bacterial small subunit ribosomal RNA", at positions 524 to 776 of the family's 1533-position model. The record is from RNAcentral.